Molecule: ribosomal RNA, 645 nt
Filed under: uncultured bacterium
Lineage: Bacteria
Description: bacterial SSU rRNA
Rfam family: Bacterial small subunit ribosomal RNA
Source: RNAcentral
UUCGCAUGAAGCAGUGUGAAAAACUCCGGUGGUACAAGAUGGACCCGCGUCUGAUUAGCUGGUUGGUGAGGUAACGGCCCACCAAGGCGACGAUCAGUAGCCGGCCUGAGAGGGUGAACGGCCACAUUGGGACUGAGACACGGCCCAAACUCCUACGGGAGGCAGCAGUGGGGAAUAUUGCACAAUGGGGGAAACCCUGAUGCAGCAACGCCGCGUGAGUGAAGAAGUAUUUCGGUAUGUAAAGCUCUAUCAGCAGGAAAGAAAAUGACGGUACCUGACUAAGAGGCCCCGGCUAACUACGUGCCAGCAGCCGCGGUAAUACGUAGGGGGCAAGCGUUAUCCGGAUUUACUGGGUGUAAAGGGAGCGUAGACGGUUUUGCAAGUCUGAAGUGAGAGCCCGGGGCUUAACCCCGGGACUGCUUUGGAAACUGUAGGACUAGAGUGCAGGAGAGGUAAGUGGAAUUCCUAGUGUAGCGGUGAAAUGCGUAGAUAUUAGGAGGAACACCAGUGGCGAAGGCGGCUUACUGGACUGUAACUGACGUUGAGGCUCGAAAGCGUGGGGAGCAAACAGGAUUAGAUACCCUGGUAGUCCACGCCGUAAACGAUGAUAACGAGGUGUUGGUGGGUAUGACCCAUCGGUGCCGC